GGGUUGUGAGGUUAAGCGACUAAGCGUACACGGUGGAUGCCCUGGCAGUCAGAGGCGAUGAAGGGCGUGCUAAUCUGCGAUAAGCGCCGGUAAGGUGAUAUGAACCGUUAUAACCGGCGAUACCCGAAUGGGGAAACCCAGUGUGACUCGUCACACUAUCAUUAACUGAAUCCAUAGGUUAAUGAGGCGAACCGGGGGAACUGAAACAUCUAAGUACCCCGAGGAAAAGAAAUCAACCGAGAUUCCCCCAGUAGCGGCGAGCGAACGGGGAGGAGCCCAGAGCCUGAAUCAGCAUGUGUGUUAGUGGAAGCGUCUGGAAAGGCGCGCGAUACAGGGUGACAGCCCCGUACACAAAAGCGCAUGUGCUGUGAGCUCGAUGAGUAGGGCGGGACACGUGGUAUCCUGUCUGAAUAUGGGGGGACCAUCCUCCAAGGCUAAAUACUCCUGACUGACCGAUAGUGAACCAGUACCGUGAGGGAAAGGCGAAAAGAACCCCGGCGAGGGGAGUGAAAAAGAACCUGAAACCGUGUACGUACAAGCAGUGGGAGCCCCACCACUAAGCCAGUGGUGAACUCCACAUACGCAUCCUUUGCUGAGGAUACGGUUAACGGAGCGAAAGCGAC
RNAcentral lists this ribosomal RNA (623 nucleotides) under Salmonella enterica subsp. enterica serovar Bovismorbificans. RNAcentral's name for it is "partial 23S ribosomal RNA". It matches the Rfam family "Bacterial large subunit ribosomal RNA", at positions 1 to 641 of the family's 2925-position model. Lineage: Bacteria; Pseudomonadati; Pseudomonadota; Gammaproteobacteria; Enterobacterales; Enterobacteriaceae. The record is from RNAcentral.